GACGAGGGGUCCUAGCGUUGUUCGGAAUUAUUGGGCGUAAAGCGGGUGUAGGUGGCUCUGUAAGUCAGAAGUGAAAUCCCCGAGCUUAACUCGGGAAGUGCUUUUGAAACUGCAAGACUUGAAUACUGGAGAGGAUCGCGGAAUUCCCGGUGUAGAGGUGAAAUUCGUAGAUAUCGGGAGGAACACCAGUGGCGAAGGCGGCGAUCUGGACAGAUAUUGACGCUGAGGUGCGAAAGCGUGGGGAGCAACAGGAGUA
This 256-nucleotide ribosomal RNA is filed under the name uncultured bacterium. RNAcentral describes it as "partial 16S ribosomal RNA". It matches the Rfam family "Bacterial small subunit ribosomal RNA", at positions 524 to 780 of the family's 1533-position model. The record is from RNAcentral.